RNAcentral lists this ribosomal RNA (978 nucleotides) under human gut metagenome. Its description in RNAcentral is "bacterial LSU rRNA". It matches the Rfam family "Bacterial large subunit ribosomal RNA", at positions 1950 to 2925 of the family's 2925-position model. The record is from RNAcentral.
CCUAAGGUAGCGAAAUUCCUUGUCGGGUAAGUUCCGACCUGCACGAAUGGCGUAACGACUUCCCCACUGUCUCGACCAGGAGCUCGGCGAAAUUGCAGUACGAGUAAAGAUGCUCGUUAAGCGCAGAAGGACGAAAAGACCCCGGGACCUUUACUAUACCUUGGUAUUGGCGUUAGGCGCGGAUUGUGUAGCAUAGGCGGGAGGCUUCGAAGCGGGUGCGCCAGCAUUCGUGGAGCCGCAAGGUGAAAUACCGCUCUGUUCGCAUUGGAUGUCUAACCUCGAACAGUCAUCCUGUUCAGGGACAGUGCCUGGCGGGUAGUUUAACUGGGGCGGUUGCCUCCCAAAGAGUAACGGAGGCGCUCAAAGGUCCGCUCAGCCCGGUUGGCAAUCGGGUGUCGAGUGUAAUCGCACAAGCGGGCUUGACUGCGAGGACGACGGUCCGAGCAGGGACGAAAGUCGGAGAUAGUGAUCCGGUGCCGGCGCACGGGCGCGGCAUCGCUCAACGGAUAAAAGGUACCCCGGGGAUAACAGGCUGAUCAUUCCCAAGAGUCCAUAUCGACGGGAUGGUUUGGCACCUCGAUGUCGGCUCGUCGCAUCCUGGGGCUGGAGCAGGUCCCAAGGGUUCGGCUGUUCGCCGAUUAAAGCGGCACGCGAGCUGGGUUCAGAACGUCGUGAGACAGUUUGGUCUCUAUCCUCUGCGCUCGUUGGAAUGCUGAGGAGGCCUGCCCAUAGUACGAGAGGACCUGGGUGGACGAACCUCUGGUAUGCCGGUUGUCGCGCCAGCGGCACGGCCGGUUGGCUACGUUCGGGAGGGAUAACCGCUGAAAGCAUCUAAGCGGGAAGCCUGCUCCAAGAUUAGGAUUCCAUGGAUCUUCGAGAUCCUGUAGCCCGCAUGUUGAACACGUGUUUGAUAGGCCGGAGGUGGAAGCCCCGUGAGGGGUGGAGCCGACCGGUACUAACGGGCGACGGCGACACAAC